RNAcentral lists this ribosomal RNA (253 nucleotides) under uncultured Acidobacteriota bacterium. RNAcentral describes it as "uncultured Acidobacteria bacterium partial 16S ribosomal RNA". It matches the Rfam family "Bacterial small subunit ribosomal RNA", at positions 524 to 776 of the family's 1533-position model. Lineage: Bacteria; Pseudomonadati; Acidobacteriota. The record is from RNAcentral.
UACGGGGGGGGCGAGCGUUGUUCGGAAUUACUGGGCGCAAAGGGUUCGUAGGUGGCUCGCUAAGUCAGACGUGAAAUCCCUCAGCUCAACUGGGGAAUGGCGUCUGAGACUGGCAAGCUUGAGUGCAGGAGAGGAACGCGGAAUUCCAGGUGUAGCGGUGAAAUGCGUAGAUAUCUGGAGGAACACCGGUGGCGAAGGCGGCGUUCUGGACUGCAACUGACACUGAUGAACGAAAGCCAGGGGAGCAAACGGG